Molecule: ribosomal RNA, 440 nt
Filed under: uncultured bacterium
Lineage: Bacteria
Description: partial 16S ribosomal RNA
Rfam family: Bacterial small subunit ribosomal RNA
Source: RNAcentral
CCUACGGGUGACUGCAGUGGGGAAUAUUGCACAAUGGGCGAAACCCUGAUGCAGCGACGCCGCGUGAGGGAAGAAGUAAUUCGUAACGUAAAGCUCUAUCAGCAGGGAAGAAAAUGCAGGUACCUGAGUAUGAAUGAACGGAUAAUUCCGGGCCAGCAGGCGCGGUAAGACGGAGGGGGCAAGCGUUAUCCGGAUUUACUGGGUGUAAAGGGAGUGUAGACGGUAGGACAAGUCUGGGGUGAAAUCCCGGAGCUUAACGGCGGAACUGCCUUUGAAACUGGCGAACUAGAGUGUGGGAGGGGUUAGCGGAAUUCCUGGUGUAGGAGUGAAAUGCGUAGAUAUCAGGAGGAACAUCGGUGGCGAAGGCGGCUUACUGGCACAUAACUGACGUUGAGGCUCGAAAGCGUGGGGAGCAAACAGGAUUAGAUACCCUGGUAGUC